RNAcentral lists this ribosomal RNA (2476 nucleotides) under Shigella sonnei. Its description in RNAcentral is "partial 23S ribosomal RNA". It matches the Rfam family "Bacterial large subunit ribosomal RNA", at positions 460 to 2915 of the family's 2925-position model. The record is from RNAcentral. Lineage: Bacteria; Pseudomonadati; Pseudomonadota; Gammaproteobacteria; Enterobacterales; Enterobacteriaceae.
CCAAGGCUAAAUACUCCUGACUGACCGAUAGUGAACCAGUACCGUGAGGGAAAGGCGAAAAGAACCCCGGCGAGGGGAGUGAAAAAGAACCUGAAACCGUGUACGUACAAGCAGUGGGAGCACGCUUAGGCGUGUGACUGCGUACCUUUUGUAUAAUGGGUCAGCGACUUAUAUUCUGUAGCAAGGUUAACCGAAUAGGGGAGCCGAAGGGAAACCGAGUCUUAACUGGGCGUUAAGUUGCAGGGUAUAGACCCGAAACCCGGUGAUCUAGCCAUGGGCAGGUUGAAGGUUGGGUAACACUAACUGGAGGACCGAACCGACUAAUGUUGAAAAAUUAGCGGAUGACUUGUGGCUGGGGGUGAAAGGCCAAUCAAACCGGGAGAUAGCUGGUUCUCCCCGAAAGCUAUUUAGGUAGCGCCUCGUGAAUUCAUCUCCGGGGGUAGAGCACUGUUUCGGCAAGGGGGUCAUCCCGACUUACCAACCCGAUGCAAACUGCGAAUACCGGAGAAUGUUAUCACGGGAGACACACGGCGGGUGCUAACGUCCGUCGUGAAGAGGGAAACAACCCAGACCGCCAGCUAAGGUCCCAAAGUCAUGGUUAAGUGGGAAACGAUGUGGGAAGGCCCAGACAGCCAGGAUGUUGGCUUAGAAGCAGCCAUCAUUUAAAGAAAGCGUAAUAGCUCACUGGUCGAGUCGGCCUGCGCGGAAGAUGUAACGGGGCUAAACCAUGCACCGAAGCUGCGGCAGCGACGCUUAUGCGUUGUUGGGUAGGGGAGCGUUCUGUAAGCCUGCGAAGGUGUGCUGUGAGGCAUGCUGGAGGUAUCAGAAGUGCGAAUGCUGACAUAAGUAACGAUAAAGCGGGUGAAAAGCCCGCUCGCCGGAAGACCAAGGGUUCCUGUCCAACGUUAAUCGGGGCAGGGUGAGUCGACCCCUAAGGCGAGGCCGAAAGGCGUAGUCGAUGGGAAACAGGUUAAUAUUCCUGUACUUGGUGUUACUGCGAAGGGGGGACGGAGAAGGCUAUGUUGGCCGGGCGACGGUUGUCCCGGUUUAAGCGUGUAGGCUGGUUUUCCAGGCAAAUCCGGAAAAUCAAGGCUGAGGCGUGAUGACGAGGCACUACGGUGCUGAAGCAACAAAUGCCCUGCUUCCAGGAAAAGCCUCUAAGCAUCAGGUAACAUCAAAUCGUACCCCAAACCGACACAGGUGGUCAGGUAGAGAAUACCAAGGCGCUUGAGAGAACUCGGGUGAAGGAACUAGGCAAAAUGGUGCCGUAACUUCGGGAGAAGGCACGCUGAUAUGUAGGUGAAGUCCCUUGCGGAUGGAGCUGAAAUCAGUCGAAGAUACCAGCUGGCUGCAACUGUUUAUUAAAAACACAGCACUGUGCAAACACGAAAGUGGACGUAUACGGUGUGACGCCUGCCCGGUGCCGGAAGGUUAAUUGAUGGGGUCAGCGCAAGCGAAGCUCUUGAUCGAAGCCCCGGUAAACGGCGGCCGUAACUAUAACGGUCCUAAGGUAGCGAAAUUCCUUGUCGGGUAAGUUCCGACCUGCACGAAUGGCGUAAUGAUGGCCAGGCUGUCUCCACCCGAGACUCAGUGAAAUUGAACUCGCUGUGAAGAUGCAGUGUACCCGCGGCAAGACGGAAAGACCCCGUGAACCUUUACUAUAGCUUGACACUGAACAUUGAGCCUUGAUGUGUAGGAUAGGUGGGAGGCUUUGAAGUGUGGACGCCAGUCUGCAUGGAGCCGGCCUUGAAAUACCACCCUUUAAUGUUUGAUGUUCUAACGUGGACCCGUGAUCCGGGUUGCGGACAGUGUCUGGUGGGUAGUUUGACUGGGGCGGUCUCCUCCUAAAGAGUAACGGAGGAGCACGAAGGUUGGCUAAUCCUGGUCGGACAUCAGGAGGUUAGUGCAAUGGCAUAAGCCAGCUUGACUGCGAGCGUGACGGCGCGAGCAGGUGCGAAAGCAGGUCAUAGUGAUCCGGUGGUUCUGAAUGGAAGGGCCAUCGCUCAACGGAUAAAAGGUACUCCGGGGAUAACAGGCUGAUACCGCCCAAGAGUUCAUAUCGACGGCGGUGUUUGGCACCUCGAUGUCGGCUCAUCACAUCCUGGGGCUGAAGUAGGUCCCAAGGGUAUGGCUGUUCGCCAUUUAAAGUGGUACGCGAGCUGGGUUUAGAACGUCGUGAGACAGUUCGGUCCCUAUCUGCCGUGGGCGCUGGAGAACUGAGGGGGGCUGCUCCUAGUACGAGAGGACCGGAGUGGACGCAUCACUGGUGUUCGGGUUGUCAUGCCAAUGGCACUGCCCGGUAGCUAAAUGCGGAAGAGAUAAGUGCUGAAAGCAUCUAAGCACGAAACUUGCCCCGAGAUGAGUUCUCCCUGACCCUUUAAGGGUCCUGAAGGAACGUUGAAGACGACGACGUUGAUAGGCCGGGUGUGUAAGCGCAGCGAUGCGUUGAGCUAACCGGUACUAAUGAACCGUGAGG